UAGAGACAGAGACAGUGUGUUAUAAUCUGUAGGAUUCUAGAGACAGUGUGUUAUAAUCUGUAGGAUUCUAGAGACAGUGUGUUAUAAUCUGUAGGAUUCUAGAGACAGAGACAGUGUGUUAUAAUCUGUAGCAUUCUAGAGACAGAGACAGUGUGUUAUAAUCUGUAGGAUUCUAGAGACAGACAGUGUGUUAUAAUCUGUAGGAUUCUAGGCACAGAGAGACAGACAGUGUGUUAUAAUCUGCAGGAUUCUAGAGACAGAGACAGUGUGUUAUAAUCUGUAGGAUUCUAGAGACAGUGUGUUAUAAUCUGUAGGAUUCUAGAGACAGUGUGUUAUAAUCUGUAGGAUUCUAGAGACAGAGACAGUGUGUUAUAAUCUGUAGGAUUCUAGAGACAGUGUGUUAUAAUCUGUAGGAUUCUAGAGACAGAGUGUUAUAAUCUGUAGGAUUCUAGAGACAGAGACAGUGUGUUAUAAUCUGUAGGAUUCUAGAGACAGUGUGUUAUAAUUUGUAGGAUUCUAGAGACAGAGACAGUGUGUUAUAAUCUGUAGGAUUCUAGAGACAGUGUGUUAUAAUCUGUAGGAUUCUAGAGACAGUGUGUUAUAAUCUGUAGGAUUCUAGAGACAGAGACAGUGUGUUAUAAUCUGUAGGAUUCUAGAGACAGAGACAGUGUAUUAUAAUCUGUAGGAUUCUAGAGACAGAGACAGUGUGUUAUAAUCUGCAGGAUUCUAGAGACAGAGACAGUGUGUUAUAAUCUGCAGGAUUCUAGAGACAGAGACAGUGUGUUAUAAUCUGUAGGAUUGUAGAGACAGUGUGUUAUAAUAUGUAGGACUCGAGAGACAGUGUGUUAUAAUCUGUAGGACUCGAGAGACAGUGUGUUAUAAUCUGUAGCAUUCUAGAGACUGAGACAGUGUGUUAUAAUCUGCAGGAUUCUAGAGACAGAGACAGUGUGUUAUAAUCUGCAGGAUUCUAGAGACAGAGACAGUGUGUUAUAAUCUGCAGGAUUCUAGGGACAGAGACAGUGUGUUAUAAUCUGUAGAAUUCUAGAGACAGA
This 1052-nucleotide long non-coding RNA is filed under the name Salmo salar (Atlantic salmon). RNAcentral's name for it is "lncRNA (ENSSSAG00000082431.1, ENSSSAG00000085382.1)". The record is from RNAcentral. Lineage: Eukaryota; Metazoa; Chordata; Actinopteri; Salmoniformes; Salmonidae.